GCUCGCGUAGCUCAGUUGGAUAGAGCGACGGUUUCCUAAACCGUAGGUCGCAGGUUCGAUCCCUGCCGCGGGCG
This 74-nucleotide transfer RNA is filed under the name Deltaproteobacteria bacterium. Its description in RNAcentral is "tRNA-Arg". It matches the Rfam family "tRNA". From Rfam's summary of the family: Transfer RNA (tRNA) molecules are approximately 80 nucleotides in length. Their secondary structure includes four short double-helical elements and three loops (D, anti-codon, and T loops). Lineage: Bacteria; Pseudomonadati; Myxococcota; Myxococcia. The record is from RNAcentral. RNAcentral also lists the same sequence under 1 other name.